Kogia breviceps (pygmy sperm whale) is the source of this 1175-nucleotide non-coding RNA. The record is from RefSeq and is a predicted model, not a curated record. Lineage: Eukaryota; Metazoa; Chordata; Mammalia; Artiodactyla; Physeteridae.
CUUGAGGUGGUUUGCUGGGACUCACAGGCCGGGAUCCCUCUGGAACAGAUACGGCUCUUAGUCACAAGGUCCCCUCGCUAAAAUAAAGGGAUCCAUCCAGACUGAGGUCCGGAAGAGAAAGGAUGAGGGCUACGGGCUGCCGCAAGGUCCAAACCGCGCGGCUAGGCUUUUUGACUUGGGGAGGAGUUCUUGCCGGGGUUUACUGAGCCCGCGGUGGCCCUUCUGAGCCAGCGUUAGGUGUGGCCUGUACGGCGUGCGAGGACGGAACACGGGUUAAUGGAGAAGCGCGAGUGAGAACGACGGAGCCAGAAAGCACGUGGGGAGUAGGGGAAGCGCCGUUGGAUGCGCGAUUCCCGAUUCGCUGAGCCUCUGGUUCCCCUCUGAGCGACCUGGAAACCAUGGCAUCCCAGCGAUUCCUUCCAGAUGCUAAGUCCUAAGUUUCUUGAAGGUGGAAACGUGGUUGGGAAGAAAAGUGGGGUAGGCCUCCAAUCCGUGGUCAAUUCUUUUUGCAUAGGCUGAAAGAGAGGAUGAUUGUCUUUGGAGAACAUCAAGACUACAAGUGCCUGCUAUGCUUAAGAUAAACUUGCUGUGAGCAAGUUAAGAACAAUGAUGAAACCAGUGCUGAGACUGGAACGGUGCCGGCUGUAUUUAGUGGCCAAAGAAUGGAAAGGGGGAAUCUAGUUCGCAAAUCAACUUCUCAACGCAAUUCAGGUGGAGCCACCAACUAUAUUGGCAGGUCGAGGUAAAAAGCAGGCAGUUGGAAGGAGUGGGGGGAAUAUUCAUGACUUAAUGGAGAACAGGGGUGUGCUUUGGACCUGGGACUGUUGCAACGCUCCUUUUCAGUCCUUAUAUGGGCUUUUCUGGUUGUUGUCAUGGCAACCGUCAACUUCCUGGCCCUGGUGGGUGUGUCGUUUAACAUAUGCUAAUAUAUUACAGUCAGAGUAUAAUGAGGCUCAGGGUCUGCUGGAAGUCAAAUCUUCCGCCAUCUUGGGCCUGGUUGGUUCUAACCAGUUCUUUUUUUUUUUUUUUUUUUUCCUCUUUGCCGUUUCCUCCUGAAACUUAGAUAAGAAUAAUUGGUUUCCGUUCGAGGGAGGGGCAGGGGUAUGAUUCUGGGGCAACAGCCUUGGUAACAGAAUCACUUGGAUUGCUUUAAUUCUCCAAAACCUAUAGAGUUA